RNAcentral lists this ribosomal RNA (273 nucleotides) under uncultured bacterium. RNAcentral describes it as "partial 16S ribosomal RNA". It matches the Rfam family "Bacterial small subunit ribosomal RNA", at positions 524 to 793 of the family's 1533-position model. The record is from RNAcentral.
GACAGAGGAUGCAAGCGUUAUCCGGAAUGAUUGGGCGUAAAGCGUCUGUAGGUGGCUUUUCAAGUCCGCCGUCAAAUCCCAGGGCUCAACCCUGGACAGGCGGUGGAAACUACCAAGCUGGAGUACGGUAGGGGCAGAGGGAAUUUCCGGUGGAGCGGUGAAAUGCAUUGAGAUCGGAAAGAACACCAACGGCGAAAGCACUACUAGCUGGGCCGACAACUGACACUGAGAGACGAAAGCUAGGGGAGCAAAUGGGAUUAGGAUACCCGGGAU